GAGAGAAUCAUUGAAUACAUUGAUGCCAUCCAAUCACGAGACAAGAGACAUGAAAUCCCCAGACUAAGGAACAAGUUGUAGGAAAUGAAGAUACUGGAACUACCAAAACAACAUUAGAAUCUUUCACUUCGAAGACCUGAACAAGAUCAAACCUUCCAGAACCCCAGCAUUGAUAGAGGUGUGGUUGCUCUGCUGUUAAAUCUGUUUCGUGGACUACUCACCACAACUCAAAUUUAAGUAUAAUCUGUGUAUACAGACUAUGCUUUCUGACUCCAUCCAUGCAGUGAUGUUCACCUACAUUGAUCUUGCCAUCUAAUCACUGAGAAGAAUAUGAUGAGAAGCAUGAGCAUGGAGUGAAGAUAUAGAACUCUUGGCUCCUCCUUCACCACAUAUGUUUGGCUGUGCCAUAUUCUUGCCUUGAUGAUAAUGGACUGGACCUCUGAACUGAAAAAGACCUUUGCACUUGUGAACUCACAGUAGCUGUGACUGGCUGUACAAGAUCUGUGCAUUGCUUAAGAGUGACACAUAACCCGCCUUAGACAGUUGAUGGCUGUUAGAGAAAGUAUUCCUCCAAGGAAAGUGGUAGAUAGAGAAAGGAGACUUUUCUUGAGGCUUUCAAUAAACCUUGCCUGGAGUAAACACUAUAGUAGAAACAUUGCACGACCCUGCUUCAAACAACUCAACAAUUGAAAAGUAACCACGUUGGAAUGAGUUCCUGUAUACAACAGCCAUGCUAUGUCUAGAAGAGAGCAUUUCAGAGCUUUCUUCCAAUUUUCUGGCUUUUAUAUUAGGCCCCUCUUUGGUAGUAUUCCUUGAGACUUGGGGAAAGGAGCUGUUUGAUAUACAUGCCUCAUCAUUGCCUGAUCUCCCUCAGUCACUUAUUUUCAGCCAUUUAAAUAGAUAGUUUCUU
Molecule: long non-coding RNA, 910 nt
Organism: Mus musculus (house mouse)
Lineage: Eukaryota; Metazoa; Chordata; Mammalia; Rodentia; Muridae
Product: predicted gene, 39388
Exons: 6
Source: RefSeq, a predicted model, not a curated record